AAGAAGUCGCCCUCCUGUCCGUGGAGCCUUUUGCCCUCAGCCUUUUGCAUCCUGACCUGAAGGCAGAGGGCUUUUACCUGAGGUGGCAGAGCAGGUGCCAGGGAGACCAGUGCGUGUGUCCUGAUGGAAGCAGACCUCUCUUCUCUGAGGGAAUGACGCUGAGGGAGCCUCGAGGAACAUCUUCAACAUGAAAUAAUCUUCACACGAGCUCGGCUUCCAUGAGAAGCUCCUCCCGGCCUGAAGGAAGACAGUGGUCCUCUGAACCAGUUGGCAGUUAAACUCAGCAGCAACACUGAGACUGACAGAGCAACCCCAGACAGCAGCAGCAGGCCCUUCAGUGCACAUCUGCUCUGGGUGACCGUCAUUACGGGAGUCUUCUCUUCAGUCUGCUGGUCGUUUUCAUUGCUGUGCGGAAGCUGUCUGAUUGUUGGCUGCAGGCCACAUGACAGGGCUCUGCUCAGCAGCCCCUUUCCAGCCGCCUCCCUCCACGUGCUCAGCACCAUCCUGUCCUCCCAUCUGAUCUUCUCCUGCUGGCUCCUGGCCACUAUCAUUUGACUACAG
RNAcentral lists this long non-coding RNA (561 nucleotides) under Heterocephalus glaber (naked mole-rat). RNAcentral's name for it is "lncRNA (ENSHGLG00000043859.1)". Lineage: Eukaryota; Metazoa; Chordata; Mammalia; Rodentia; Bathyergidae. The record is from RNAcentral.